Etheostoma cragini (Arkansas darter) is the source of this 157-nucleotide long non-coding RNA. RefSeq lists it as uncharacterized. Lineage: Eukaryota; Metazoa; Chordata; Actinopteri; Perciformes; Percidae. The record is from RefSeq and is a predicted model, not a curated record. The transcript has 3 exons.
ACAAGAAUAGCAUGUAUUGUUAUCUUUAUUGAAGUGAAUUAGGUUUAAAUCGCCUUCAUUCAUGAAUCAAUGAUAGUUUUGCAAUAUUACACAUAAUAAUCCACGAUAUCACAUUACACAAAACUGAAAUUGGACAUUUUUCCAUGUUCAAUUUAGC